RNAcentral lists this long non-coding RNA (1545 nucleotides) under Gallus gallus (chicken). RNAcentral's name for it is "lncRNA (ENSGALG00010010140.1)". The record is from RNAcentral. Lineage: Eukaryota; Metazoa; Chordata; Aves; Galliformes; Phasianidae.
UGCCAAGCACGGGAUGGCUGCCAAAACACAUAUCAUUAGCUUGGACCAGCUAUAAGCAAGGAAAUGAGAAACAUAUGUUGGAGAGCAAGGUUAGGAGCGAGGGACUAUGGGUCAGUGACAGUCGUCCGAAAACUUUUCCCUUGUUCUUCAGCUGUGGCCCGAUGGUGUCAAAUGUCACUGUGACAGCCCUCAUUUCUCAUGACGGUCGGGCUUAUUUUGGCCUGGUUGGUUUUUGUUGUGUUUUUUUUUUUCCCCUCCCCUAAUGGGAGUUAUUGAGAGGAAGAAGAGAACAGACAAGGCCGUGUUUUGCGACAGUGAUUCUGCACCGCCAGGAGAAGCACAGCGAGCACCGGGACAACAACGGCGAAAGAAGGAACGCGAUCGGAUUCCUUCUGCUGGGAUUUAGCAGAUAAGUGGAAAAGCUGAGUCUGAGAAACUGAAGAAACUGCCAGUAGCCCAGAGACCACAAUUUGAUGACAUUUCAUUCUUAAUCAGGUUAAAAAAAAAAUUGAAUUACGUUGAUUUAUUUUGCCUCUCUUUCAGGCUGUCCCACUCCAAAGCUACAUAGGAAGGUGGAUUAAAAUUUAAAAAAACACCGUGUUUUACAGAAGCUCGGCGUCUUACCAGUGCUGAUGGGCAACCUGAGAGCCGGGGGCUCCCAGCAGCCCCUGCAGGCUGACAGAGGCCGGUCCUCCCUCGGAGGUGAAGGGCAGGUGGGCCGUGAAGGAAAGCCGCCCCGUAGGGCUGCUCCGCCACCACCAACUCCAUCAUUCACUCACUGAUUUAAAACACAAACGUCCUCCGUGGCUUUGAAAAUAAUGCCCUCCAUAAGCCAAACAACUGUGUAUCUGGGAAAUCUUAGUGGAGUAUCUUGGCAACAAGAACACUUUAAUAAAACACAGAUCUCAUACAGAAAGAGCAUCUUUUGGGCAGAGGAGAUGAAGUGGAUGAGACACCAAGCCCAGUUUGAACAAUACACCGAAUUAAGCCCGAGAACUCGGACUGAGUUGGUAACUCCAGGGAAGACACCGAUGCUUCAGAAAGUGGGAACCAUUUCCACACUUACAAAUGGUUCUGUGGGCGUGAAUGCUUCCGCAGCUCCCAGGCCAGGCAAGAUGACCUUUCCAGAACUUGUAAAAUCAAAUCACAUAAAAAUAGAUUCAGACUUUCUUAAAAUGAAACCGCUUGAAAAAGAAGCCCAACAACUGAAAUGCUGGAGGAAAACAGAACGUGCCUGAGCAAAUAUACUUCAAAAUGAAAUUUUAAACUUGGAAUAAUGACAGUAGUUACGUCUCCAUCUCUCUUUCUCUCUCGCUCGCUGCCAUUUCCAGAUCACUCUUAUCAGAGCUCUGUCAGCCCCUAAACUGACAUUUUCCCAUCCUGAUCAUUCCCAGGAUAGAGAAGAAGGAUUUUUUUUUUUUUUUUGCUUGGCUGAUGCAAACAGCAGAUCAUCCUACAGAGAAACGUCAAGGACAGUUCGGAGUCCUAAUCCCUGACCUGGCGGCCCUUUCCUAACUAGCUAUUGACAUUGAACUUAAAAAGCUG